GUGGAGCAUCAUAAAAAUAAUGUACAAAUACAUAAAAAUAGUCAUGUUAAUUGAAAUAUAAUAGUUUAUAAAAAAUCUCAACUACAAAUUAAAACCAAUCAAAAUACACGAUUUCAUUUGAUAACUAAAUGAGCACCAAAAAAAGAAAAAUGUGCUUACAAUAAACCACAUUACAUUACUCUAAAAAUAAAUAAAUAAAAAUGGUAUAUCAUCGGGUAGAGCCUUAUAUACUACAACUAGAAGUUGGAGCUUAAUCAUCCUUUAUAGAGU
RNAcentral lists this long non-coding RNA (270 nucleotides) under Elaeis guineensis (African oil palm). Its description in RNAcentral is "long non-coding RNA (EGUI_LNC022137)". Lineage: Eukaryota; Viridiplantae; Streptophyta; Magnoliopsida; Arecales; Arecaceae. The record is from RNAcentral.